RNAcentral lists this ribosomal RNA (636 nucleotides) under uncultured bacterium. RNAcentral's name for it is "bacterial SSU rRNA". It matches the Rfam family "Bacterial small subunit ribosomal RNA", at positions 763 to 1399 of the family's 1533-position model. The record is from RNAcentral.
GGGGAGCAAACAGGAUUAGAUACCCUGGUAGUCCACGCCGUAAACGAUGAUUACUAGGUGUCGGGAGGCAAAGCCUUUCGGUGCCGCAGCCAACGCAAUAAGUAGUCCACCUGGGGAGUACGUUCGCAAGAAUGAAACUCAAAGGGAUUGACGGGGACCCGCACAAGCGGUGGAGCAUGUGGUUUAAUUCGAAGCAACGCGAAGAACCUUACCUGGCCUUGACAUCCCGGUGACAGCGAAGUAAUGUUCGUUUUCCUUCGGGACACUGGAGACAGGUGGUGCAUGGUUGUCGUCAGCUCGUGUCGUGAGAUGUUGGGUUAAGUCCCGCAACGAGCGCAACCCUUACCUUCAGUAGCCAGCAUAUUAGAUGGGCACUCUGGAGGGACUGCCAGGGACAACCUGGAGGAAGGUGGGGAUGACGUCAAAUCAUCAUGCCCCUUAUGGCCAGGGCUACACACGUGCUACAAUGGCGUAAACAAAGAGAAGCGACCACGCGAGUGUGAGCGAAUCUCAAAAAUAACGUCUCAGUUCGGAUUGUAGUCUGCAACUCGACUACAUGAAGCUGGAAUCGCUAGUAAUCGCAGAUCAGAAUGCUGCGGUGAAUACGUUCCCGGGUCUUGCACUCACCGCCCGUCA